This is an RNA transcript of Tribolium madens (black flour beetle), 1254 nucleotides long. It is a transcript of the gene named leucine-rich repeat-containing protein 51-like, with no coding region annotated. The record is from RefSeq and is a predicted model, not a curated record. The transcript has 4 exons. NCBI's taxonomy places the organism in Eukaryota, Metazoa, Arthropoda, Insecta, Coleoptera, Tenebrionidae.
UUGCGACCUGUCAUUGUGUCGGUAAAGUAGCGAUCUGUGAUUCUAUUCGAAUUUUGAACUUUUUUUUAACUAAUAGAAGUAUCGCCACUAUUUCAGAAAAAAUAUCAUGUGUGAUUGAAAAACUAAGAAUAGAAAUGUUUGAAAGUGGCACUGACUUUGAUUUCGGUGAUGAUUUGAGUUUCAAUUUCGAAAAAAAUGAUAAUACGAGAGGUGACAAACGCCCAAGUGAGUCACCCCCACGUAAAAAAACGAAAUUUAGUGUUCCAAAGACAGUUUUUGUGAAACGAAAAUUCCCCGGUCCUGCGGGGCUCCUCGAUUUGGAAAACUCGACUAAAAAUGAGGUCAUUCCGUGCUCCCAAAUGUCACUGUCAGUCUUCCAGACAGCCCCCUGGCUCCAUAUGUGUCAAGACAACGAAACGUUGAUUGGCCAGUAUGAUAUCAAGUGGAUCAAGAGUGCGGCAAGUCGAGGGAGAUUGCUGAAUCAGAAAGCCCCAUUCCUGGGGGCUGUUAUUAAAAGUGUGGAGUGUUUUGAGGGGAAAAAUACGAUUGUUAAGGUUGUUUUGAAGGACGACACGGGUGAAAUUCAAGGCUCGAUUAUUCAUAAUUUGUUUGAAGAACAUUCCGAAUUUUUGGUGGCUGAUUCUGUGAUUGUUUUGAGACAGUGUAGUAUCAUUACGACCGGUUUUGGUAAUCAUUAUUUGACCAUAACUCGGAAUAAUUUGGUGGCGAUUUAUUGGAAUGAUAAAGACGGGGAUUUGAAGGUUAAAAGACUGCAAGAGGUGUCCAAUGAGGAGCAAAAAAAAUCAAACCAAGUUGAAAUUAAACAAACAGAUGAAGAAAUUUUGAAAAAUAUCCUCGAAGAAGUCGAUCUUGACUCACUUUUUGAUGAUUUCUAAUUUGUAAGAUUUUGUAAAGAAUAUAAAUUUGUUUAGUUUUUAAAACCCGGCCUUAAAAAUCGACCUAAUAUCACCUUAGUAACCCCCAUCUGUCACCCGAAUGUCGUCCCCUAAGAUGCAAAUCGACGAAAAACGCGAAUUAGAAACGAGCAAACCGGCCGAUUUCUCCUUCAAAAAAUUGAAACUCCUCGAAGAUCGACAAUUUAGAUUUUACUCCGGUUUUGAAAAAUGAAAAAUUGGCCCCAAAACCGGCCGAAUUUCUUAAGGAUAUUAGAGCGACAAGAGGCACCAAAGAAGUAAUUAAGGGCGACGACUGAUUCAUUGUUAUUUUUUUGAAAAUAAAACGGAAAAGACAGUU